This 484-nucleotide ribosomal RNA is filed under the name uncultured bacterium. RNAcentral's name for it is "partial 16S ribosomal RNA". It matches the Rfam family "Bacterial small subunit ribosomal RNA", at positions 30 to 507 of the family's 1533-position model. The record is from RNAcentral.
AUUGAACGCUGGCGGCAGGCCUAACACAUGCCAGUCGAGCGGAUGAAGGGAGCUUGCUCCUGGAUUCAGCGGCGGACGGGUGAGUAAUGCCUAGGAAUCUGCCUGGUAGUGGGGGAUAACGUCCGGAAACGGGCGCUAAUACCGCAUACGUCCUGAGGGAGAAAGUGGGGGAUCUUCGGACCUCACGCUAUCAGAUGAGCCUAGGUCGGAUUAGCUAGUUGGUGGGGUAAAGGCCUACCAAGGCGACGAUCCGUAACUGGUCUGAGAGGAUGAUCAGUCACACUGGAACUGAGACACGGUCCAGACUCCUACGGGAGGCAGCAGUGGGGAAUAUUGGACAUUGGGCGAAAGCCUGAUCCAGCCAUGCCGCGUGUGUGAAGAAGGUCUUCGGAUUGUAAAGCACUUUAAGUUGGGAGGAAGGGCAGUAAGUUAAUACCUUGCUGUUUUGACGUUACCAACAGAAUAAGCACCGGCUAACUUCGUG